Molecule: non-coding RNA, 81 nt
Organism: Podarcis lilfordi (Lilford's wall lizard)
Lineage: Eukaryota; Metazoa; Chordata; Lepidosauria; Squamata; Lacertidae
Source: the annotation of a GenBank genome assembly
GCCUUUAGGAAUCUCUAGCUCAGUUCGUAGAGCAUGAGACUCUUAACCCCAUGGUCGUCGGUUUGAGCCCCACGUUGGGCA